CAACUACAUGACACUUCAGGAUGAACAAGGAAAACAUAUGCUGGAUCUUACCAUCAUUAAAGAUGAAGAUGACGGGUCUCAACUCAAAAUAUCGACGGUCUAUUUUCCUCCAAUGAUACUGCCUGACCAGAACUUUGUGCGUUGUUCCAGAUCACAGCAUCCAUAUCUUCUGCCUCCAGUGUACAGUUGGUCGGAAGAAGAGCAAGUCAUUUUGUGAUUCACAUUGAAACACUGCUUGGAUCCCUAGACGUGGAACAGGGAGAUACCAAAUGGCAGCCCAUCACUUCUACCACGGCAUAAGCCAUCGACAACAGCUCGCCAAAGUCCUCUGACCUGGGUCAGUCUUUCAAGCUACCUUCAGAUAUAGUCCAUCUUCUUGGUGUAUUGUUCCUCUCUCAGAGCAUCUGCAUUUUUGUGUGGGCAUUGCCACUGAACCAUGACCACAUCAGAACGCAGGAGAAAUCUGACCGUGUUUGAAGGAGUUCUUCAAAUGCUUCAAUCUGUGUGCUUUGCGGUUAAGGACUCGGAAGACUGAGGACCUGCUUGUCUCCAAACCCGCCCCACCCACCCCACCCAGUGCAGGUUAAUGUGAGAUUGGGAUUACUCCCGAA
This is a long non-coding RNA of Mobula hypostoma (lesser devil ray), 611 nucleotides long. RefSeq lists it as uncharacterized. The record is from RefSeq and is a predicted model, not a curated record. NCBI's taxonomy places the organism in Eukaryota, Metazoa, Chordata, Chondrichthyes, Myliobatiformes, Myliobatidae. The transcript has 4 exons.